UUGGAUGUAGUCGCAUUAAUUUAUAUGUGUUGGAGUGGAUUGGAGUGAGACUUAAACUAAAUUCCACCUCAAUCAACUCCAACACAUAUGGAUUGAAGUGAAUACGACA
This 109-nucleotide microRNA precursor is filed under the name Sorghum bicolor (sorghum). Its description in RNAcentral is "MIR5565 microRNA precursor family". It matches the Rfam family "MIR5565 microRNA precursor family". Lineage: Eukaryota; Viridiplantae; Streptophyta; Magnoliopsida; Poales; Poaceae. The record is from Rfam by way of RNAcentral.